AACGAACGCUGGCGGCAUGCCUAACACAUGCAAGUCGAACGAGACCUUCGGGUCUAGUGGCGCACGGGUUCGUAACGCGUGGGGACCUGCACUUAUGGUCGGAAUAACUCCCCGAAAGGGGUGCUAAUACCGGAUAAUGUCUUCUGACCAAAGAUUUAUCGCCUUUGGAUGGGCCCGCGUUGGAUUAGCUAGUUGGUAGGGUAAAAGCCUACCAAGGGGAGGAUCCCUAGCUUGUAUGAGAGGAUGAUCAGCCACACUGGGACUGAUACACGGCCCAGACUCCUACGGGAGGCAGCAGUGGGGAAUAUUGGAACAUGGGCGAAAGCAUGAUCCAGCAAUGCUGCGUGAGUGCUGAAGGCAUUAGGGAUGUAAAGCUCUUUUACCCGGGAUGAUAAUGACAGUACCGGGAGAAUAAGCCCCGGCUAACUCCGUG
This 433-nucleotide ribosomal RNA is filed under the name uncultured bacterium. RNAcentral's name for it is "partial 16S ribosomal RNA". It matches the Rfam family "Bacterial small subunit ribosomal RNA", at positions 29 to 507 of the family's 1533-position model. The record is from RNAcentral.